RNAcentral lists this ribosomal RNA (613 nucleotides) under uncultured eukaryote. RNAcentral's name for it is "SSU rRNA". It matches the Rfam family "Eukaryotic small subunit ribosomal RNA", at positions 585 to 1204 of the family's 1831-position model. The record is from RNAcentral.
CCAGCUCCAAUAGCGUAUAUUAAAGUUGUUGCAGUUAAAAAGCUCGUAGUUGGAUUUCUGCUGAAGACAGCCGGUCCGCCUCUGGUGUGCACCUGGUUCGGCUUUGGCAUUCUGUUGGGGAACGCGGUGCACUUGAUUGUGUGCCACGGUAUCCAGCAAUUUUACUUUGAGAAAAUUAGAGUGUUUCAAGCAGGCCUUCGCCUUGAAUACUGCAGCAUGGAAUAAUAAGAUAGGACUUUAGUCCUAGCUUGUUGGUUUCUGGGACUGAAGUAAUGAUUAAUAGGGAUAGUUGGGGGCAUUCGUAUUUAACUGUCAGAGGUGAAAUUCUUGGAUUUGUUAAAGACGAACUACUGCGAAAGCAUUUGCCAAGGAUGUUUUCAUUAAUCAAGAACGAAAGUUAGGGGAUCGAAGACGAUCAGAUACCGUCCUAGUCUUAACCAUAAACUAUGCCGACUAGAGAUUGGAGGUCGUUAUUCAUACGACUCCUUCAGCACCUUAUGAGAAAUCAAAGUCUUUGGGUUCUUGGGGGGAGUAUGGUCGCAAGGCUGAAACUUAAAGGAAUUGACGGAAGGGCACCACCAGGAGUGGAGCCUGCGGCUUAAUUCGACUCAAC